Molecule: ribosomal RNA, 463 nt
Filed under: Sympetrum ambiguum
Lineage: Eukaryota; Metazoa; Arthropoda; Insecta; Odonata; Libellulidae
Description: partial 16S ribosomal RNA
Rfam family: Archaeal large subunit ribosomal RNA
Source: RNAcentral
CAAAAACAUGUCCUUUUGAUUUAAGGUCUGACCUGCCCAGUGAUAUUUAACGGCCGCGGUAUANCUGACCGUGCAAAGGUAGCAUAAUCAUUAGUCUUUUAAUAGAGGGCUGGAAUGAACGGUUUCACGAGGAACUGACUGUCUCAUUUUAUUUGUUUUAAAACUUAAUUUUUUAGUUAAAAAGCUAAAAUUUCAUUGGAAGACGAGAAGACCCUAUAGAUCUUUAUAUAUAUUUUGUUGGGGUGACAAAAAUAUAUAAUUAACUUUUUCAUUUAUUUACCAUUGAUAUAUGAAUAUUAGAUCCAUUAUUAUUGAUUGUUAGAAUAAGUUACCUUAGGGAUAACAGCGUAAUCCUCCUCCAGAGUUCAUAUUUACAGGGCUUGCGACCUCGAUGUUGGAUUAAGAUAAUAAUUAGGUGUAGCCGCUUAAUUUAUAGGUCUGUUCGACCUUUAAAUUCUUACAU